ACUGGGAAAUAAACGUUGGAAAAGGUCCCUUGAUGUUGCAAAUAAAGUGUGUAUUUCAAAUAAAAGGACGAUUUCUCUGGCCCUCGAAAAUGGAUUGACUGCACUUACUCUGGAGGAAUUGAUCGCAUUCGGUCUUGAGAAUUUUUGUCUGAUCGGCCAAGGAAGGAUCAAGGAUACGAAGUCUGUGGAUGUCAUCGAUGAAUAAUCCUUGUUCAACCAGUUCGUCCUCCGCCAUGAACACAUUAUUCACAUCCAUGAUUGACUGUGCUGGUCU
This is a long non-coding RNA of Daphnia pulex (common water flea), 274 nucleotides long. RefSeq lists it as uncharacterized. The transcript is spliced from 2 exons. The record is from RefSeq and is a predicted model, not a curated record. Lineage: Eukaryota; Metazoa; Arthropoda; Branchiopoda; Diplostraca; Daphniidae.